AUGUUUAAGACAAUACUUGUGUUCAUUCUAUUGUUUACAGGAUAUCCUUGUAAUUCUGCGUAUGAAAACAAAACAGGUGAUAUUACACCUUCAAAGAGAGAUUAUGAAAAUACCCUAAAUUCUUCACUAGAUCUUGCAACUGGAACACAGGACCGUGAUCAUGUUGCAGGAAGAAGUCUGCCAACUCUAGUAGUGGCAGGAGUCAGCAUUGCCCUUGUGUUGCUCUGUGUUCUUAUCGUUUCUGUUUUUUGGUAUGCAUGGAAAAAAUCACAGGAAGGUUCAAUUGAACUCAAUCCUAUCCCCUACGGUGAGGCUGAAGUGUCCUUACGAAGCGUUUCGAUGCCUGAGAACCAAAAGGAGUGGCCUUUUGAGAGAGCAGUGCAGUGA
This 387-nucleotide long non-coding RNA is filed under the name Parus major (Great Tit). Its description in RNAcentral is "lncRNA (ENSPMJG00000008849.1)". The record is from RNAcentral. Lineage: Eukaryota; Metazoa; Chordata; Aves; Passeriformes; Paridae.